GGGCGUGUGCCGGAGUGGCCAAACGGGGCAGACUGUAAAUCUGUUGGCGAAAGCCUUCGGGGGUUCGAAUCCCUCCGCGCCCA
RNAcentral lists this transfer RNA (83 nucleotides) under Phycisphaerales bacterium. RNAcentral describes it as "tRNA-Tyr". It matches the Rfam family "tRNA". Rfam says of the family: Transfer RNA (tRNA) molecules are approximately 80 nucleotides in length. Lineage: Bacteria; Pseudomonadati; Planctomycetota; Phycisphaerae; Phycisphaerales. The record is from RNAcentral.